RNAcentral lists this ribosomal RNA (250 nucleotides) under uncultured bacterium. RNAcentral describes it as "partial 16S ribosomal RNA". It matches the Rfam family "Bacterial small subunit ribosomal RNA", at positions 524 to 773 of the family's 1533-position model. The record is from RNAcentral.
UACGGAGGAUCCAAGCGUUAUCCGGAUUUAUUGGGUUUAAAGGGUGCGUAGGCGGACCCAUAAGUCAGUGGUGAAAGUUUGCAGCUUAACUGUAAAAUUGCCGUUGAAACUGUGGGUCUUGAGUGUAAAUAAAGUAGGCGGAAUGUGUUGUGUAGCGGUGAAAUGCUUAGAUAUAACACAGAACACCAAUUGCGAAGGCAGCUUACUGGGAUACAACUGACGCUGAGGCACGAAAGCGUGGGGAUCAAAC